AUACGAACAAGUCGGAUGUACGUGCUGUCCCGCACGGCCGCGAGAAAUCCAAACAACACUCAGUGUUUUGCAGUUCUCCGACGAUUACACGGUUGGAUCGCGACAAAUUUCACAUGGUAGUGGAAGACACAAUUCCUCAAAAUAUCACCGAAGGGAUCGGCGAAACCUUUCUUGAGGUAGCGGGAAACAUGUGAACAAGUAGGACGUUUGUGCGGCCUCGCAGGGUCGCGAGAAAUCCAAACAAAACUCAGUGUUUUGAAGUUUUCUGGAGAUUCCACCGUUGGAUGGCAACGAAAUUUAACAUUGUGGUGAUAGACAAAAUUCCGCACAACUCUACCAAAGGGAUCGUCGAAAUAAUCCUUGAAUCAAUGGGAGACAUGCGAACAAGUCAGACAUUUGUGCGGCUGCGAGGAAUCCAAACAACACUUGGUGUUUCGGAGUUGGCCGGAGAUUUCACCGUUGGAUCGAGACGAAAUUUAACAGCGUCGUAGUAGACACAAUUCCGCACAAAGGCACAGUAGGGAUCUUCGUACUUGAGUCAUCAAAUACCUUGUGAGAGAGGAAGGAGGCAGGAGAAAGAAAAGAAUGGCGAUCGGAGAGCAAAAGAAAAAAAACAUGAAAAUACCAUCCUCCCCUUCUAAGUUUGGGAAG
Molecule: long non-coding RNA, 651 nt
Filed under: Brachypodium distachyon (stiff brome)
Lineage: Eukaryota; Viridiplantae; Streptophyta; Magnoliopsida; Poales; Poaceae
Description: long non-coding RNA (BDIS_LNC001579)
Source: RNAcentral